Molecule: ribosomal RNA, 492 nt
Filed under: uncultured bacterium
Lineage: Bacteria
Description: partial 16S ribosomal RNA
Rfam family: Bacterial small subunit ribosomal RNA
Source: RNAcentral
AGUGAACGCUGGCGGUAGGCCUAACACAUGCAAGUCGAACGGCAGCACAGUAAGAGCUUGCUCUUACGGGUGGCGAGUGGCGGACGGGUGAGGAAUACAUCGGAAUCUACUUUUUCGUGGGGGAUAACGUAGGGAAACUUACGCUAAUACCGCAUACGACCUACGGGUGAAAGCAGGGGAUCUUCGGACCUUGCGCGAUUGAUUGAGCCGAUGUCGGAUUAGCCAGUUGGCGGGGUAAAGGCCCACCAAGGCGACGAUCCGUAGCUGGUCUGAGAGGAUGAUCAGCCACACUGGAACUGAGACACGGUCCAGACUCCUACGGGAGGCAGCAGUGGGGAAUAUUGGACAAUGGGCGCAAGCCUGAUCCAGCCAUACCGCGUGGGUGAAGAAGGCCUUCGGGUUGUAAAGCCCUUUUGUUGGGAAAGAAAAGCAGCAGGUUAAUACCCCGCUGUUCUGACGGUACCCAAAGAAUAAGCACCGGCUAACUUCGUG